This 66-nucleotide transfer RNA is filed under the name Apatura ilia (lesser purple emperor). Its description in RNAcentral is "tRNA-His". Lineage: Eukaryota; Metazoa; Arthropoda; Insecta; Lepidoptera; Nymphalidae. The record is from RNAcentral. RNAcentral also lists the same sequence under 1 other name.
AUUUAAAUAAUUUAAAAAUAAAAUAUUGAUUUGUGGAGUCAAAAAUAUGAAAUGUCAUUUUAAAUC